This 440-nucleotide ribosomal RNA is filed under the name uncultured bacterium. Its description in RNAcentral is "partial 16S ribosomal RNA". It matches the Rfam family "Bacterial small subunit ribosomal RNA", at positions 338 to 795 of the family's 1533-position model. The record is from RNAcentral.
CCUACGGGAGGCAGCAGUGGGGGAUUUUGCACAAUGGGGGGAACCCUGAUGCAGCGACGCCGCGUGGGUGAAGAAGCGCCUCGGCGCGUAAAGCCCUGUCAGCAGGGAAGAAAAUGACGGUACCUGAAGAAGAAGCCCAGGCUAACUACGUGCCAGCAGCCGCGGGAAUACGUAGGGGGCAAGCGUUAUCCGGCUUUACGGGGUGUAAAGGGGGCGCAGACGGCGAUGCAAGCCAGGAGGGAAAGCCCGGGGCCCAACCCCGGGACUGCUCUUGGAACUGCGUGGCUGGAGUGCAGGAGGGGCAGGCGGAAUUCCUGGUGUAGCGGUGAAAUGCGUAGAUAUCAGGAGGAACACCGGUGGCGAAGGCGGCCUGCUGGACUGCAACUGACGUUGAGGCCCGAAAGCGUGGGGAGCAAACAGGAUUAGAUACCCUUGUAGUC